This 72-nucleotide transfer RNA is filed under the name Rhipidia chenwenyoungi. RNAcentral's name for it is "tRNA-Lys". Lineage: Eukaryota; Metazoa; Arthropoda; Insecta; Diptera; Limoniidae. The record is from RNAcentral.
CAUUAGAUGACUGAAAUGUAAGUAAUGAAUUUUUAAUUCAUAUAAUAGUAUUUUAACAACUACUUCUAAUGA